GUCUUAUUGAAAUAUAUAGUAAGUCUAUUCUGCCCAUUGAGAAAGUUAAAAGGCUGCAGUAAUUUGACUGUACAAAGGUAGCAUAAUCAAUAGUUUUUUAAUUGAAAACUUGUAUGAAAGAAUUAAUAAAAUAUUAAUUGUCUCAAAUUUAAAAAUUGAAAUUAAAUUAAAAGUUAAAAUUCUUUUAUUUUUUUAUUAGACGAUAAGACCCUAAGAAUUUGAUUAUUUAUUCUUUUUGUUAAUUUUAUUAUUAAGUUAAUAUAAGUUAUUUAAAUAAUUUUAUUGGGAGGGUAAUUAAAAGUUUAAACUUUAAUUUUUUAUAAACUUUGAUAAUAGACUUAAAUGAUUAUUAUUAUAGUUGUAAGAAUUAAUUACCUUAGGGAUAACAGCGUAAUAAUUUUGGAAAGUUCAUAUUUAUAAAAUUGUUUGCGACCUCGAUGUUGAAUUAAAGUAAAAAUUAAAUGAAGAUAUUUAAAUUUUUGGUCUGUUCGACUAUUAAAAUUUUACA
This 508-nucleotide ribosomal RNA is filed under the name Mischocyttarus latior. RNAcentral's name for it is "partial 16S ribosomal RNA". The stretch from base 382 to 508 matches the Rfam family "Bacterial large subunit ribosomal RNA", at positions 2473 to 2600 of the family's 2925-position model. The record is from RNAcentral. Lineage: Eukaryota; Metazoa; Arthropoda; Insecta; Hymenoptera; Vespidae.